Transfer RNA from Planctopirus limnophila DSM 3776, 85 nucleotides. It matches the Rfam family "tRNA". From Rfam's summary of the family: Transfer RNA (tRNA) molecules are approximately 80 nucleotides in length. Their secondary structure includes four short double-helical elements and three loops (D, anti-codon, and T loops). Further hydrogen bonds mediate the characteristic L-shaped molecular structure. tRNAs have two regions of fundamental functional importance: the anti-codon, which is responsible for specific mRNA codon recognition, and the 3' end, to which the tRNAs corresponding amino acid is attached (by aminoacyl-tRNA synthetases). tRNAs cope with the degeneracy of the genetic code in two manners: having more than one tRNA (with a specific anti-codon) for a particular amino acid; and 'wobble' base-pairing, i.e. permitting non-standard base-pairing at the 3rd anti-codon position. The record is from Rfam. Lineage: Bacteria; Pseudomonadati; Planctomycetota; Planctomycetia; Planctomycetales; Planctomycetaceae.
GAUCAAGUGGUGCAACUGGUAGACACGCGACGCUCAAAACGUCGUGCCCGAUUCGGGCUUGGGAGUUCGACUCUCCCCUUGAUCA